AAAAAACCUCCAUAAAGUGUUAAAAACUAUACCAGUGAGUGAUGUAAGUAAAACAUUAAAUUUAUAAAUCAUAAAGUGAUAAAGUAGUAUGAUAUCAAAGGAUGGAAAAUAUGGCUAAAAUAGUCAAAUUUAUUUAUGUUAUGAUUACCAUUUUUUCUCUACUUUUUGUCACAACGAGCAUUAGCACGGAUGGUGAUGACUGUUUUUCAAGUUCUGAUUGUGAAUGCGACCCUCCUUUGAUACCUUUUUGUAUUGUAAAAUUGUGUUUGUGCUUAGAAAGGGAUCCAAUUAUGAUAUGAUUAUCAGAUCUUAGGGACUAAAAAGAAGCUCAACUAUAAUAUUAUAUAAGUUGUCCUUAGUUGUGGUAUUUGCAUCUUAUUAUUUGAUUUUCAUAUAUUUUGUUAUUUUUCAUAUUUCAUGGACCUUGUAACAAUGAUUUAUACUCUAAAGUGAUGUUAAAUGAAAUAAAAUAAGGUAUCAAUAUUUUUUUUUACAA
Long non-coding RNA from Vicia villosa (hairy vetch), 496 nucleotides. RefSeq lists it as uncharacterized. NCBI's taxonomy places the organism in Eukaryota, Viridiplantae, Streptophyta, Magnoliopsida, Fabales, Fabaceae. The transcript has 2 exons. The record is from RefSeq and is a predicted model, not a curated record.